UACAGAGGUCCCGAGCGUUGUUCGGAUUCACUGGGCGUAAAGGGUGCGUAGGCGGCUGGGUAAGUCUGAUGUGAAAUCUCCGGGCCCAACCCGGAAAUGGCAUUAGAAACUACCUGGCUGGAGGCUUGGAGGGGAACUGGAAUUCUCGGUGUAGCAGUGAAAUGCGUAGAGAUCGAGAGGAACACCAGUGGCGAAGGCGAGUUCCUGGACAAGUCCUGACGCUGAGGCACGAAAGCCAGGGGAGCAAACAGG
This 252-nucleotide ribosomal RNA is filed under the name uncultured bacterium. RNAcentral's name for it is "partial 16S ribosomal RNA". It matches the Rfam family "Bacterial small subunit ribosomal RNA", at positions 524 to 776 of the family's 1533-position model. The record is from RNAcentral.